CAGCCGCCGCGGUAAUACGUAGGGUGCGAGCGUUAAUCGGAAUUACUGGGCGUAAAGGGCGCGUAGGCGGGCGAAUAAGUCAGGGGUGAAAUCCCAAGGCUCAACCUUGGAACUGCCUUUGAUACUGUUUGUCUUGAGUCCGGGAGAGGUGAGUGGAACUGCGAGUGUAGAGGUGAAAUUCGUAGAUAUUCGCAAGAACACCAGUGGCGAAGGCGGCUCACUGGCCCGGAACUGACGCUGAGGCGCGAAAGCGUGGGGAGCAAACAGGAUUAGAUACCCGCGUAGUCCCUGUCUCUUAUAC
This 301-nucleotide ribosomal RNA is filed under the name uncultured bacterium. RNAcentral describes it as "partial 16S ribosomal RNA". It matches the Rfam family "Bacterial small subunit ribosomal RNA", at positions 509 to 807 of the family's 1533-position model. The record is from RNAcentral.